CUGAAAAGGGUCUGUAUUGAAGAAGAAGAGAGAGACAGAGAGAUUUGAUUUCGUUUUCUACAUCUAAACGAUUAUAGCAAAAACGAUCUCUUUGACACCUAAGCUAAAGAAGAAAUAAAAAUUUCUUUUCUUUCCUUUCAUCUUGUUGAUUCACACUUCCUUUUCUGUUCACACCACUUCGUAUAAAUCUUUCAUCUUCUUUCUCUCUUCAUCUUUUUCCUUUCGAUCCCUCUUAUCUAUCUAUCUAUCUUUUUGGUGGGUGAGAUCUUGUUUUGUCUCAAUUAUUUGUUGUUGCUUUGUAUUUGUUUGUGUAAUGGAAGGAUAUCUUCAUCAGCAUCAUCACAUCAGUGUUAACGUUGAUACUGAUAGGUUUCCUCAAUGGAGUAUCCAAGAAACGAAGGAAUUCUUGAUGAUCCGAGCAGGACUGGAUCAAACUUUCAUGGAGACCAAAAGAAACAAGCUUCUUUGGGAAGUGGUAGCUAACAAAAUGAAGGAAAAGGGUUUUCAUCGCAGCUCAGAGCAGUGCAAGUGCAAGUGGAAAAACCUCGUUACUCGUUAC
Molecule: unclassified non-coding RNA, 559 nt
Filed under: Hevea brasiliensis (rubber tree)
Lineage: Eukaryota; Viridiplantae; Streptophyta; Magnoliopsida; Malpighiales; Euphorbiaceae
Source: RNAcentral